GCGGAAGUAGCUCAGUUGGUAGAGCGGCAGCUUCCCAAGCUGCAGGUCGCGAGUUCGAGACUCGUCUUCCGCUCAA
RNAcentral lists this transfer RNA (76 nucleotides) under Spirosoma montaniterrae. Its description in RNAcentral is "tRNA-Gly". It matches the Rfam family "tRNA". From Rfam's summary of the family: Transfer RNA (tRNA) molecules are approximately 80 nucleotides in length. Their secondary structure includes four short double-helical elements and three loops (D, anti-codon, and T loops). Lineage: Bacteria; Pseudomonadati; Bacteroidota; Cytophagia; Cytophagales; Cytophagaceae. The record is from RNAcentral.